GCCAUGCAUGUCUAAGUAUAAGCGAACUUAUACAGUGAAACUGCGGAUGGCUCAUUAAAACAGUUUGAAUUUAUUUGAUGAAUGUAUGAGAAUACUACUUGGAUAACCGUAGUAAUUCUAGAGCUAAUACAUGCAACGACGCCCGACCGUUUCACUACGGAAGGGCUGUAUUUAUUGGAUACCAAAACCAUCCUUCCCUCGGGAAGUUUUGUUUGAUGAUUCACAAUAACUGAUCGGAUCGCCACUGUGGUGGCGACAGGUCAUUCAACAUUCUGCCCUAUCAGCUUUCGAUGGUUGUGUAGUGGACAACCAUGGCCAUAACGGGUAACGGAGAAUCAGGGUUCGAUUCCGGAGAAGGAGCUUGAGAAUUGGCUACUACAUCUAAGGUAGGCAGCAGGCGCGCAAAUUACCCAAUCCCGAUUCGGGGAGGUAGUGACAAAAAAUAACAAUACCGGGCCUUUUUGGGCUUGGUAAUUGGAAUGAGGGAGAGUUAAACGGACCAUCGAGUAUCCAUUGGAGGGCAAGUCUGGUGCCAGCAGCUGCGGUAAUACCAGCUCCAAUAGCGUAUAUUAAAGUUGUUGCAGUUAAAAAGCUCGUAGUUGGACUUGUGUGCGCUGUCCGCGGGUGGCCUGCGCCCAAAAGGGCGUUUCGGUUCGGCCCCGGUGGCGCCUUGAAAUCUGCAGCUGGGGGGACGUUGGCCUUAACUGGUCGGCGACCGCACGCCGGCUGCUCGGUUACUGUGAGAAAAUUAGAGUGUUCAAGGCAGGCAUUGGGUGCAAUUGAAUACAUUAGCAUGGAAUAAUAAAAUAUGGCUCCUGCCGUAUUUUGUUGGUUUUGACUGGUGGGAGUAAUGAUUGAUAGGGACGGUUGGGGGUGCUAGUAUUGAGCGGCCAGAGGUGAAAUUCAUGGAUUCGCUCAAGACUAACUUAUGCGAAAGCAUUCACCAAGGACGUCCUCUUUAAUCAAGAACGAAAGUUGGGGGAUCGAAGACGAUCAGAUACCGUCGUAGUCUCAACCAUAAACUAUGUCGACUUGGGAUCGGCGGUAGUUUUUUCAUUAAGACACUGUCGGGACCACGGGAGAAAUCAAAGUGUCUGGACUCUGGGGGAAGUAUGGUCGCAAGGCUGAAACUUGAAGGAAUUGACGGAAGGGCACCACCAGGAGUGGAGCCUGCGGCUUAAUUUGACUCAACACGGGGAAACUUACCAGGUCCAGAGAUGUAGAGGAUUGACAGAUUGAAGCUCUUUCUUGAUCACUUCGGUGGUGGUGCAUGGCCGUUCUUAGUUGGUGGAGUGAUUUGUCUGGUUAAUUCCGUUAACGAACGAGACCUCCCUGCUAGUGUAGUCGGCUGG
RNAcentral lists this ribosomal RNA (1352 nucleotides) under metagenome. Its description in RNAcentral is "SSU rRNA". It matches the Rfam family "Eukaryotic small subunit ribosomal RNA", at positions 48 to 1366 of the family's 1831-position model. The record is from RNAcentral.